AAAUUAAUACACACACCAAGAUAAGAAACAAAUACAUAAAAAGGGUGAAAGACGUCUUUUUUUUUGUUUGUUUGUUUGUUUGUUUGAUUGUUUUGGUUUUUUUUCGUGUUCUUUUUUUUUCCCCCU
This 126-nucleotide non-coding RNA is filed under the name Platyophrya macrostoma. Lineage: Eukaryota; Ciliophora; Colpodea; Cyrtolophosidida; Platyophryidae. The record is from RNAcentral.